UCAUGGCACACGCUAAACUAGGUCACAUUAAAUUUUUCAAAACUUCAUCUCGUGCACGCACCACAGUAGUUAACUAAGAUCAGUUUGGGUGACAAAGGGAGGCAAUUUGCAGAAGAGGCAGAGUUAUGUCUGUUCCCUAAUUUUCUUGACAUGUAAACAGAAAACCAGCUCUCUUUCCUCUGAAGAAUCAUCAAAGGACAGGGCUGUUAAAAAAAAAAAAAAACACAACUUGCUGGUAAGCCAUCAGUGUUUCAUUUAAAUCCCAGCAUUCAAAGUUAGCUGCCUUUUUUGAAACAAACAAACAAAAACUACUACUGUAUGUUUGAAAAUGUGAAUAGUAUUUUUAUAGCUUGUUAAAGACAUGGCUAGCUGCAUUUGUAAAUAGGGAUAAUGUUGCUUUGAUUUUCUUUGAUGAGCAUCUUUAUUUGGAACAUAAUUGUCUUUAGGGUUGAUUUGUAUAUAAGUAAUUGGCUUGUGAUUGUUUCUCUUUUGGUUAGAAGUUAUCGUUUUGACAUUACCUGUGAUUCUGUGUUCAGCACUAUUGUGAUGUGUCCAACCUCUGCACUCGCUUACACAAUAGGAUAUGCCAAUUGUGUGUGGUGAAAUGUUAUUUUCAUUUUUUUCUAUUUUAUCUAUGAAGGAUUAUGCACUUAACACAUACUAACUUUUUUAAUGUUAGGUCUAUUUUUAGUAUAAUUUCCCGAUUCUUCUCCAACCCUUCAGCUUCUUUUCCCUCCUUUCCCUAUUUUCUGUUGUUAUAGAGGAUGAGGGAGAAAAUGUAUUUUAAAUGGAUGUAAUUAGGCUUUUUGAGGUAGUUCUCAAGGAUCCUCUUUUGACUCUUGGGAAAGAAUUGUGCGUGCACAAGGCAAAUAUAGAAUGCGAGCUGCUUUGCCUCAUUCCGUACUGAUCAUCCCAAAUGAACAAUUUGAAAACUGUUCUGCCUUUUUGUUACAUGAAUCUGUCAGAAAUAUAUUUUUAAUUUAAUAUAAACGAAAUUCAAUAAAAUAUGAAAC
This 1013-nucleotide long non-coding RNA is filed under the name Rattus norvegicus (Norway rat). RNAcentral's name for it is "long non-coding RNA NONRATT030124". The record is from RNAcentral. Lineage: Eukaryota; Metazoa; Chordata; Mammalia; Rodentia; Muridae.